CCCAGACUCCUACGGGAGGCAGCAGUGGGGAAUAUUGCACAAUGGGGGAAACCCUGAUGCAGCGACGCCGCGUGAGUGAAGAAGUAUUUCGGUAUGUAAAGCUCUAUCAGCAGGGAAGAAAAUGACGGUACCUGACUAAGAAGCCCCGGCUAACUACGUGCCAGCAGCCGCGGUAAUACGUAGGGGGCAAGCGUUAUCCGGAUUUACUGGGUGUAAAGGGAGCGUAGACGGCAUGGCAAGUCAGAUGUGAAAGCCCGGGGCUCAACCCCGGGACUGCAUUUGAAACUGUCAGGCUGGAGUGCAGGAGAGGUAAGUGGAAUUCCUAGUGUAGCGGUGAAAUGCGUAGAUAUUAGGAAGAACACCAGUGGCGAGGGCGGCUUGCUGGACAGUAACUGACGUUGAGGCUCGAAAGCGUGGGGAGCAAACAGGAUUAGAUACCCCAGUAGA
Molecule: ribosomal RNA, 447 nt
Filed under: uncultured bacterium
Lineage: Bacteria
Description: bacterial SSU rRNA
Rfam family: Bacterial small subunit ribosomal RNA
Source: RNAcentral